This 164-nucleotide ribosomal RNA is filed under the name Callistephus chinensis (China aster). RNAcentral's name for it is "5.8S ribosomal RNA". It matches the Rfam family "5.8S ribosomal RNA". Rfam says of the family: 5.8S ribosomal RNA (5.8S rRNA) is a component of the large subunit of the eukaryotic ribosome. It is transcribed by RNA polymerase I as part of the 45S precursor that also contains 18S and 28S rRNA. Functionally, it is thought that 5.8S rRNA may be involved in ribosome translocation. The record is from RNAcentral. Lineage: Eukaryota; Viridiplantae; Streptophyta; Magnoliopsida; Asterales; Asteraceae. RNAcentral also lists the same sequence under 5 other names.
CAAACGACUCUCGGCAACGGAUAUCUCGGCUCACGCAUCGAUGAAGAACGUAGCAAAAUGCGAUACUUGGUGUGAAUUGCAGAAUCCCGUGAACCAUCGAGUUUUUGAACGCAAGUUGCGCCCGAAGCCAUUCGGCCGAGGGCACGUCUGCCUGGGCGUCACAC